UGCAUGGACGAGACGUGAACCAAGUGUGUGCAAUAUAUACAUUGUCCAAUUCCACCUGCCCCAUUGUCCAGAAGCUAAAAUAUCUUAACGUCCCGUGUGUGGUCUGCCGUUUCUUCUUUAUAUUCAAACGGAAUUGGGGUUAAAACGAUAACGGGAUGAGAGCUAGAAAAAAAAGAGAUAAAAGCCAUUUCUAUAAACGAUUAUUUUUUCCUUUUUCAUAUACAUAAAUAUUGAUUUAUCCGUGUUCUGCAAGCUGCGUUGACGUCUCUUAUUAUUAUUAUUUUUUAACUGUCUCUUUUGAUAUAUUCUUUUCUCCCAUAACGCGGUAGUGGGCGCUCUAACUUGGGCUUUUGAAUUCAAUAAUUUUUUUUUUUUAUUUGAUACGUUCAGUUUUUGUCAAUGUCCCCGUUCGAGACAAAAAUAUUGUUUCUCUUUGUAUUUUUUUGUUCAUGCCCUCCCUUCCUUGAAAUUGUCGGAUCGUUUUCUAUAGUGUACAUUGUUCGACCAGUUGAUGAAUCCAUUUAUUAUCUCUCCCCCCAUUCAAUCCAAUGUUGUGUUGUGCGCUCCCCGAAAAAUUGACAACAUUGAUGAAGUGAUGGAUAACGACGUUUUGAAGAAAGGAACAAAAACAUUGACCCAAAUGAAACAAACAAAUGAAAAUCUAACCCAUUCAACUUGUAAUAUCUGCUCCCGAAAGAACGACGCAAAAUUAAACGAGAUAGUCUUGAAUCUUCUUGAAUUCCACCGUCGUCGUGUUCGUUUGUCCUUUUAGAUGGCUUAGCUAAUCGAUAACUCGUUAAGAGGGAACUUGUAGGUAUUCAUUAUUCUAGUCGUGCUGACGGCUGUUAAUUGUUCCGUGCAAGUUUUACCGCACAGGUUUUAGCGGCCGUGAUGUCAGCCCUUUUCCGUAGGCUUACACGGAUGUUUGCCGUUGGUCUGCAUAACGAACGCCACCGUGAUUAAACGAGGGGAUUGAAGAAAAACGUGUCGGAUCCCUGUUCGUUAAUUGGAUUCUUUCAUACACGACCGACAAUAUAUUGGAGGCAGCAGUGAUCUACUACUUUCAACAAUGGCUUGUGCACGAUUGUAUUUGCGGGAUACUAAAUCUUUGGCGUUGUUCGUAUUUCUUUUGCAAAUGUUUAGGUUAAGCUAUACACACGUGAGAGCGUUUCGUUCGUGUCUGGGAUGAAGAGUGGACUAACUGUAGCCGGUGACAGGUCUAGAAAUGAAUCCUCAAGGAACUGAACUCAGUUGAUAUCUUAUGUUUGUUACGUGAUUGGUGACUGAAGGUUUGUGUGUAUUUACCUAUGGCUUUACAGUUAGUUUUGGGACGUUGAUUUAUGGAUGGCUUAGCUACUAGCUUUGAAAUCUUUCUGGGUCAACACAGUACGUCAUUACUUUCCAGUUUCCCAUUAUCAGCGAUCUAGGGCGCCUCCUUAUUCACAGAUGUCGUUGUCGUCAAAAUUGUGCCAAUUUCCGUAGUUCUUCGCCCUCUCACAGACCUGCAGACAACUCUAGACACGAAAAUAACUUUGUUAAUGAGGAAAGGAGUUUCCUUUUAUGUUACCUUAAUUAUGCAAUAGCAGAAAAAAAUUUGUUUGGCAUUUUAGUCAACGAUUUCCAUGUUUUUGAAAAGAAAAAAUAUUCAACAAUAACGAAAAACUUUAUUUGUGUCAACGCAUCGCUGUAAAUGUUCAGAACGGUGUGAGUAGCGUUUGCCGGAGGACGAAAUCGGAUUGCAUAAAUUAACAAAAAAGUUUCUUAAACAUGCAAAUUUUGUUGUUUGACGUUUUCCUUGCUUUCUUGUCCAGAAAAAUAGAGCUAUUUUUUCUUAUUAUGUAUAAUUUUAACAUUUCAUAUAGAAUGAAAUCUGCAACGUUGUGUCUACAGACAGCAUGAACCAGCUGAUUUUGAUUUUGAAACCCUAGUUGAAUAACGUUGUGAUUACACCUACACUUUUGGCAAAAGUUGCUGUUCAUUAUAGUAUGUGGCACCAUUUAUUUAACUGUUUCUUCAGUGCAGCUGAAAACGUUGGUAUAAAAAAAAAAAAACAGUUUGAUCGAUAAUCUGUGAUUUAUUUACGAACGAUAUGGGCCUCGUUGAGUCCAUGUUUACGUACGAUCGAUCACGCAAUCAAUUCAAAGGCAAAACGUUGAUUCUUUUGGCUAUGAAUUCUGUGAAACAAUUCGAAUAAAACCACGACAGAGAGCCACUCCAAGACACUGGAUCGUCCAUUCGUGUGGCAUCAGCUGUUAUUGUUCUCUCGGCGUCUUCGUGCACAAUUUGAAGAACUACUAUUACACGAAUCGAGGCAAUCAGUCACGAAGAAAAGUAGGGCAGACGUCAGUGAAAAGUGAUCGAGAUGGAAAAAGUGGAGCGUUAGGGAGUGCUGAUUGAAGGAGCCCAUGUGAUGGAUUCCGAUCAUCGCUCAUCCCGACGGCUUCUUCGUGUCAAGGCUUGCUGCCGUUUUCGAUAAGAAGAUGGCCGCUUGACCUCCGAUGUUGCCCUUUUUCCCCGCCAUCUGAGACGAGAGUUUCGCUACUUCCCACCCAGGAGUAAAUGUUAAAAAUUCAAGACGAAGUCCAGUUGGAAAUUGCAGCCACCCAAAGGACGACUGGAACUCUCCCCCCUCCCAUGAGCCCAAAAGACGCGAAAUGGGACUGAACAUACCUUUGGAUUCCUUGUGAUGGAACGUCGGGGACGGAUAGACACACGACGGUGAGGAGCCCGGGAAACGUGACGAUGAAGACGACGAGGACGAUCCGGCCACCAAAGAUGAUGAGGUCGUUGUGGAUGUUGUAACUGUCGUGGCGCUUCGGCUGCUGUUACUACCCGACGGGCGGCUGCUAUUGGCACUAGACACAUUCGGUUGCAUAUGAUUUAGCACAUCGACGACGCAAUCAUCGGGAUCGCAAUCACGAAAUCCUUUGGCGAACGGAUUACUGGCUAUCUUCAAUUGGGUGGCGAGAUUAUUACCCGAUGAUUUUGAUAGGCAGUUACGGCUGUGAAUUUAGUCUCUGGGAAAAUGAACGUGCGAAAGUUUUCUGUUUGCGAGGCGUCCUCGGUUCUUUGGUUGAUGUAGACAACGUGGAAACGAGGCUGGUAGCGAUGCAUGGAAUUCAAUAUGAUCUGUAUCGUUGGAAGAUGGUGGAGGCAUGUAAGAAAAACAAAUACAACAACAGGAGAAAGAGAGAGUCGUGUGAUGCACUGGCAUCUUAGCGUGUUGCACGCCAUUUGGAACAAGAGCCCACUAGAGAGUUGAUGGCCAUCUAAUGACUUUGGCAGCUGUACGUAGUUAGGCCUUGCCGAGCUUUUUCUAGAUCCCAAUUCUUUUUCUUUUCUGUGCUGCUUGUGUACACUGUUGACCUUUUGGUAUGACCCUCUCUCUCUCAUCAUCGACUAGAGACAGGCUGUAGCCAUCAGUAGCCAAAACAAGGCAACAUCUCAUCUUCCACUUGAUGAUGAUGAUGAUGAUGAAGAAAAUAGAAAAUGGGAGAACUUACGUGUCCGUUGUCAUCCAGCUGGUUGUUGGUUAACUUGAGUUUGUCGAACGAGACGACUUGUUUGGUCCAUUGAGAACCUUUUGCUGGCGAGUCUGGAUGAACGUGAAUCCUCGGUGGAGAAUUAGGAUCGGAUUUACCAGCCACUACCCAACUGGAACUGCGAUCCAAGCAAAAUUCCCAUUUCUUUUUACUUUAGAUUUUCCCGUUUGAAAAAAAAAAGUGUUUUCACUACCUGUGAAAUGCGUAGCGAUAUCGCUUGUCAUCCACUGGCACAAAGUCCAUCAUGAGCAUGUAAUCCGAAUUGGCGUCUAGUCCGAAUAGGCGCACCUGGAGCGUCGGAAACAUCCGCCUAAAUGGCAACGAUCCCCACCUUUGGUGACAAUCAUUUCGGUGCCCAGUUCAUUGAAUUCAUCCCACAAAGCCUUCAUCUCGAGACUAGCGUUGACUCCCGACAAUUUGGAGUGAAGCGGCUUUUUUGUUUCUUGUUCCAAGUCUGAAAAAAACAAAAAACGGUGGGCCCAAAAACAAUAAGAUUCGUUUCUUUUCAUACUCUUUGCUCUCUCUAGACUUACUCGGACUAGGGCUAGACUGGCCUCUCUGUCUGUUGGAUCGUUCCUCCUUAGUCAAGGUGGACGAAUCGUGGGUGUGAUUCCCGCUACCCAGUGGCGACAAUCCCGACGAUUGUCCGAUAUGAUGUGGAGCUGAAGGUGUAGGAGAAGCCGAAGAUUUGUCGCAACCCUCCUGUUGCAUCAUCACCGGCGGACCGAUCCCUUGUUGAUGCGAUUCUGAUCGGUAAAAUUGAUGUUGCUCUUGGCCGCCGGCUGUGAGUAGACAAGCUGAAUAGACAACGGACAAACAAUCAACAUGUUACAUUGUCGUCUUAUCAAAUGUUUAUGAUGUAUUAGAAGAUUGUUUGUUUAUAUACCUUCCAUGGCUCGCAUGGGCGUACUGAAACUAGCGCUGUGAUGAUGGAGUGAAGCCGGACUGUUCCAAUCGUUCCAGCAAUCAGUUUGCUGUACUUGCUCGUGGCUACGUGUACUUGUCGUCGAAGCCAUUGUGUGUGGCACUGUGGAAUAAAACAAACAAGCACUGCCUGAAAAUCGACGGCCGUCGCACAAAAGCUAAACUAGCUGCACUGUCCCGGCGCCAAAAAAAAACGAAUCCUUGUCACCUGAAAUAUUUUAUAAAAUGUCCAAUUUUAUGUGUGUGUGUGUGUGCGUAAACUGUCACGAUAUGUGGUGAUAGACGUAGUCAAGGAUCAAACGAGAGAUUGGACUGCGCACUGAGCUGGACUAGGCUGGUAUAUCGUUGGUCGACGAAGAUGAAGACCAAGACGAAGACGAGAGAAGACUCAUCAGCGUUGUCUAUUCAACUGAGAAGUGGAUAUCCCCCUCCUUUCACGGAAAGUAAAGUCAAAGAAGGAGGAGCAGGACGAGAAGAAAAAGAGGAUUUUCCCUUUGGGUCGUCUGUCUGGGCAACAGACCGCUUCAUCACCGCCCACGCAGCAGCUGAUCUCUAUGCACUCGUAACACGGCAGCUAAAGCUAUCGCUCCGCCUACUCUACUUUUCCCUCCUCCUCUUCUUUAUUGACUCAUUCCUUUCUGCCUCUUGUCUGAUUGCUUCAUCCAAUUGAAUUCUGUUUAACUCUGAUGAUACGGUUCAUUGACGUGGAAUGUCCGCUUUCAUCGCGUCCAUCGUUUUUAGUUUCACCCAAUCUUCUUCCUCUUUUUUUUUUUGUCUCUCAGCUACACGAAAAAGCCAAACAGUCUUUUCGUUAAUUCAAUCAUUAGCGCUUGAUUAUCACCCUAGUCAGCGCAGGCUGCUGAUAGAGUUGUAUGCGUUUACCGCGUGUUCUUCUCCUUUAGAUGUUCUUCACGCGAGCGAUGAUGUCAUCUUCGAUCAUCGCACGGGAGCAGCACGAGUUGGCAUCGUAAAAUCCAUUUGUUUUCGACAAAUGUGUCAACUAAUACAGUGGCUCUUUGCCGACAUUUCCAAUUGCAUGAAGUUCCCCGAUGACCUCCCCCCCCCCCGGCAGCCUUCGUGACCCGCACCUGGCAUCCAUGAACCUACAGGCCGAACGCAACAAAAUUACUUAACGCUGCGCUUUGCUGUUAAAAUGGGAAAUUAUUCUACCCGCUAACGCCGAUGUACGUGAAUUUACUUCCCAUAAUGCACGCCUGCAACGCUUGUGGAAAGUCUCAGGUAAACACAGCGGCAGGAUACGUCUAUCUUUAGAUUCCAAGAUGCUGGCCAGAAGCUGUCGGGAAUCGUGUAUAGUAAAGGCAGCGCAGCUAUUGCCGAGCCGUGUGUAUACAAGGACCGUUUUAAAAAUAGGGCAGAGAGGGAGAACGGGAGUUAUCUCCUGCGCUGCCGCCGCCAUGUCGGAAGAGGGGACGUGAAGUUUUAUACGAUUCGAUGAUGUACAAAUGACUUUCAGACUUGGCAUACUUCACAAUCCCGGUUCUAAUGAGGAACUGUAGCUGUCCCGCGGGCUCUAGAUUUGUGGCUGAAACUCUUGUAGGAGCUGCACGGCAAUACGGUGUGGAUAUGAACGCUCCUCAGCAUCUCCUGCGCAUCCGGAGGGGGGCUAAAAUAUCUACUACCACUACUAUGCCACUAUUAUUGGAAAAUAACAUGAAGCAACAACUGGACUGAUUUAGUGAGACAACUCGGUUCACUGUCUCACAAAUGAAACGCCAUUCAAGUUUGGCACGUCAAGAGGUAGCAGUUUAGAAUCCCUUCUUCCUCGAAAGAGUCCAAUAUGUUCAUCCACACCUCCGUCGUUUUUAAUAAAUCGGCUCUGCGUGUUCAAGUUGCUUUCGUUGGAUGACGAAAGCGAAAUCCCUUCGCCCAUACUAUUACAGGUAAAGCGGUCGUUGGUUUGUUACAUCCGGUUUACUUGACUGAUGGUGGAUUCCUUGACCAGACGAAAGCUUUACAUCACGACUUACUAAACGGAGUCUCCCUUUUAUUGCACUCGUCAUGACCGUAGUAUAAACACUAGUGUCUGUCAGUUCUUCUUUAGCGCGUCAUCAACGCCAUACGAAAUCCAGAAGCAUUGACCUCUAUAAACACAUUGAAAGAGAUCGAACUCUCUGACCCUACGUCUCAUAUGUGGCAAAUGUUCUGAUAUAAUAAGACAAUGUUUAAAACUACCAGCAAAACGAGUUAAAAAAAAAGUGUUCAAUGUGUGGAAACAGAGGUUGAGUCGUGUCGCUGUCUUUACAAAAAUAAAACUAUUACUGAGUAA
Molecule: long non-coding RNA, 6753 nt
Filed under: Daphnia magna
Lineage: Eukaryota; Metazoa; Arthropoda; Branchiopoda; Diplostraca; Daphniidae
Description: uncharacterized LOC116918058, transcript variant X1
Source: RNAcentral